GAUGAACGCUGGCGGCAGGCUUAACACAUGCAAGUCGAGCGCCCCGCAAGGGGAGCGGCAGACGGGUGAGUAACGCGUGGGAAUCUACCAUCCCUACGGAAUAGCUCCGGGAAACUGGAAUUAAUACCGUAUACGCCCUACGGGGGAAAGAUUUAUCGGGGAUGGAUGAGCCCGCGUUGGAUUAGCUAGUUGGUGGGGUAAAGGCCUACCAAGGCGACGAUCCAUAGCUGGUCUGAGAGGAUGAUCAGCCACAUUGGGACUGAGACACGGCCCAAACUCCUACGGGAGGCAGCAGUGGGGAAUAUUGGACAAUGGGGGCAACCCUGAUCCAGCCAUGCCGCGUGAGUGAUGAAGGCCUUAGGGUUGUAAAGCUCUUUCACCGGGGAAGAUAAUGACGGUACCCGGAGAAGAAGCCCCGGCUAACUUCGUGCCAGCAGCCGCGGUAA
RNAcentral lists this ribosomal RNA (446 nucleotides) under uncultured bacterium. RNAcentral's name for it is "partial 16S ribosomal RNA". It matches the Rfam family "Bacterial small subunit ribosomal RNA", at positions 28 to 523 of the family's 1533-position model. The record is from RNAcentral.